Molecule: long non-coding RNA, 1401 nt
Filed under: Lytechinus variegatus (green sea urchin)
Lineage: Eukaryota; Metazoa; Echinodermata; Echinoidea; Temnopleuroida; Toxopneustidae
Description: uncharacterized LOC121413366
Source: RNAcentral
GAAGCUCCUAUAUCAUUUCAAACGAACCACUGAUUUUUUUCUUCUUGUGAAAGUGUAUUUUGAGAUAAAUAUAUCACCAUGCCUGACACCAAAUGUGCAUGUUGCCAGGAGAACAAGGAGUGUUCGUGCGUCGGCCCCUGCUGUGAAACAGGAGAAUGCUGCAAGAAUGGAACAUGCUGCGGUGAUUCUUCUAAAUGAGCGAUACUCUGCACCAAGGGGAACUAUGAGUGCUCGAAGGACCUUUUCUGUAGGAUAGAAAGAUUGUAGAUAAAACUCGAGUAAGAUGUCUCAUCUCCCGAUGUGCGCCACUUGAUUUGAUCUGUAUAUUUUAAUAGAUGUUUGAUAUAUUUUGUUGUUGUUUUGUAACAUGUACAUUUAUAUCGUUUAUAAAAAUGUAAAUAUUAAAUAAUUUUCCAUCUAUAGGGAGUUUUAGCAAUUAAUGAAAACGCGUGUCUGUAAUAUUUACCCGUUUGGUAAUAGAACGUAUAGAACAACAUAGGCGGCGGAAGGGGGGGUGACGUGUCCCCCCUUAAUUUGAGGUGGGGGCGAUCCCCCCCUAAAUUUCUUGUUGAUGACUUUUUUUUGCUUGUCACAAAAAUUAUGUUAGUCCCUCCCUGAAAUUUUUGUUUGGUAACUUUUUUAAAAUUUUUUUUUGGGUAUGUCUAUUUUGUUUCCUGCGUCCCCCUAAAAUUUUUGGCUUCCGCCGCCAACGUAGAACACCGAACACCUUACGACUGCUGUACAACCCAGUUGGAAACAAACGGCAUUUUUAUUUUUUUUUUCUUGAUAAUGAUACAACCAUGUAAAUUAUUUUUCAAAAGGUUCAUGAUAACUAUCAGAAUAAAUCAAAAUCUCAAAGAUUUGAAGCUAUCAGUGACUAAUUGGCUAACAAACAGAGCAAAUCGUAUGGUUGUUGUGACGUCACUACAAUUCUUAAUUGAUUUCGCUUUUAUUUUAUGUAACAAGGAGGAGGGAUGAAAUUACCAUUAUAUUUUAUUUAAGUAUUUAUUUGCUGAUUCAGGACUAAAGAAACUAGUUUGUUUUUAUUCAAUACUGUCUUAAAACAUUUUAUUUAAAAAUUCGGGAUUUGAGCUAAUCGUAAGGUGUCCGGUGGCCUUCAUUACAGAAUGCGCCGGAAUAUGAAAGUUCCUAUCUUGUGCAAUAUCUUGACUUAUAGCUCGAUCGGUAUAAUGUUUUAAUGAUAUCAACGAUGUUGAUGAAAUAACGGUUAAAUGGAUUACUUUACAUACAUUAAUUUAAAGCUUUUUCUGUUCAAUUCCAUCAUGUAAUGGUAAUGAAUCGUUCUUACAUUCUUUAAUGCUUUUUGUACCAAUUCAUAAAUAUAUAAAAUCGGACCAUUUUAAACGAUUCGGUAUGAUUAAAUUUUAUUUAAGGAUUUAA